GGAGCGGUAGCUCAGUGGCAGAGACCCCGUUUGGGGUGGUCGCGGGUUCGAGUCCCGUCCGCUCAC
This is a non-coding RNA of Streptomyces sp. WM6378, 66 nucleotides long. The record is from Rfam. NCBI's taxonomy places the organism in Bacteria, Bacillati, Actinomycetota, Actinomycetes, Kitasatosporales, Streptomycetaceae.